Long non-coding RNA from Micropterus salmoides (largemouth bass), 3591 nucleotides. RefSeq lists it as uncharacterized. The record is from RefSeq and is a predicted model, not a curated record. NCBI's taxonomy places the organism in Eukaryota, Metazoa, Chordata, Actinopteri, Centrarchiformes, Centrarchidae. The transcript has 2 exons.
AAUUAAAUAGCGUUACUUGUGUGGUGUGUCUUCAGGCUUUUCCUAAAACUAACUAAACUACUACUGUUUCACAAUGUUAACCACGUGUUUGAAUACUUAAAAGCCGUACCAACUUUGCUAACAACAAAACAUCAAGGAAAUGUGACUUCACAACAGCGAUAUUACUGACAGCCGACGUCAAGCAGGAGCAACAACAAGCCACAGCGAGCCGCUAAUGAGUUAUCACUGCCUAGUCCAACAGAAAAAAGCCCAGCUUGGCAUCUGUUCUCACGCCUGUGAGUAAGACAGACCCAUAUUUCUCUUGCUCGUUACUCCCCGUCUUUCUCUUCCUUCCUUCCUUCGACGACGACUUUGGUCUCUUCAGCCAUUCGGUCUUCCAUAGCUCCAUAGAAAGCUUCGACGGCCUGGAGCAGCAACAGUAGUGACGUCACUCACCCUGUUUCAGCUUUUGAUUGUGUUACCACAGCAACACAGGCUGAGAUAGAGGUUCCUCCCUGAGAGGGUAGCAUGAAGUCCAGUUCACAUUCCUUUGGAUUACACCACUGCAUAAACCCCUUCACCUCUCAGCAGGAACACAGUCUUCAUCAGCGAGAUCACUGUCUGUGAUCCACAACACCUGGUGUGUGUCAUCCAUCAAACAACGGCAGUUACCUGGAAACGUCAUGUAAACUGAUUAUUAACCAACAAAUACAGAAGUGCAGUCUGUGUGUUUGUUUCACACAGUAUUGCUGGACAAAUACUAAAGGUUAUCUUGCUGAAAAAGUUUCUACCUUAAUUUAAAGCCAAAAUGCUGUCUGAAAUCUCAUAAAUGAGAUCCUCUACAGCUGCCUCCUUUCUCCACUAAUGCCUGGUGCUCACUAGAGGAUUUUCAAACUUUUCAAACCAAUUUUAAAAAUGUGGGACACCACAGACAUAACGGCAGAACUAACCGUUUAACAUUUUAAUCUUGAGAACGCACACACCAGACGAAGGACCACACACUCUGCGUUUCUACUAAACGGUUUCAGAGUGGCGGUUUCGGGGACUUGUGAUAUCACAGAAUCUCAUGUGAUCAAAUGUGACGGAAACAAACAUGGCUGUCGUCAGCUGGUUGACCUUGUGUGCGCUGUGUUUCGUGCAGAAGAACAAAAUAGGAGGGAAUCAAACUGGAUAAACUCGAGGCUGAGAAGAGGGAAUCAGCAGCUUUAUAUGUUUUAGAACAGAUACCCAACACACUGGGGACGCUUCCUGCUCAGCUCUGUUGUGGCCCCUGCGAUUGUUGGGAUGGGCGAACUGGACUCAACAGCGGCCCAGUUAUUCUCUAUGUAGCCGCCAGCAUUAGAGGAAGACCAAAAAAAUAUACUGCAGCAGAAAUAUUAAGGAAUUAUAGGAAAAUGAAAAGUUACUGAUCUGAACAGGAAUCAGUCUGUAAUGACAGGGUUUCAAGAUAUUUUCCUAAAAAUAAAGAGAGAGUCCAUCAUCAGGUCCUUCUGCUGCUGUGAACAAUAGAGCUUUCCAUUCACCAUUAACAUCAUUUCCGUCCGCAGGAGUUUCCUCUUUAAGUGGAAAAGCUUUGUGGUACAUAACAAAGGGAAAUAAUGCGGAGUCCAGCUGAUCAGAGCCAAACAGUCAGAGGUUAAUGCUGAACACUGAGCUCUGCAGCCUGUAUUCAGCUGUCUGUCACCACAUUGACCUCUUGUUCACCUAUUUUUAUAUUUUUCAUUCUUUGGUGAAGAUGCCUGCUGAAACAUGCUGAAACCACCACAACUACGGUGCAUGGACGAAAAGCUGCAGCCUUUUAGUUUUGCAAGGAUACUGUAGGGGUCAGAGGAGUUUGCCCAUCCAGUCUGCAUGUGCUUCUGUGGAAACAGCGUAGAGUGUGUCCCCUUUGGCGUUACUACGAACCACCGGGACGUUAGCAGAAUAAGAUCUUUGUUUGUAUUCUCUGAAGGAGCGUGGAAGCGGUUGAAUGUCCAGAUUUGUAACAUCAGUAUUACACAUCUGCUUUUUUUGCAGAUUGUGUGGUUCUGGCUGGAGGGUGGUGGAACAGUGGAACAGUGGAUAAGACACUUACCGUUGAUGUGGGAGAUCUGCGUUCAAUUUCCACUGCGACAGAUCCACCAUUGUGGCGUGCAACCUCUGACAUAUAUAGCAAGUGUAAUUCGCUUUGGAUAAAAGCGUCAGCGAAAUGACUAUGUGUUAAUGUAAUGGAGUCCAUGACCUCCAUCCAGCACACUGGGUCAGUUUGCAAACAAAUGGGAAGCAGCCAGGAGGAGAUUCAGCAUCUCUAAGGUCGGAGGCUGUGGUCCUUUGUCCAUUGUCAAGACAACAUGUUGUAUUUUCUGACCUUAACAUGAACCGGGAGGUAAACUGGCACAUUGGUGCAGCAACCUCGACUUGCAGACUGGAGGAGCCGGGGAUCGAACCACCGAUCUUACAAUUAGUAGGUAACGCAACACAUAUCAACUGUGUCACGAACCACUAUGUUAGAUGCCCGAUGUCAUUUGACGCCUGGAAACGCCCAAACCGUUCGCAUCCCAACUGGUCACACAUGGACGCUCAGUCAACCCUUGCGGUUGCUCUUUGACGCCUUGGGUUCAGUUUAGCGUCAUUUUUAUAUGUGCAGGGCUUCAUGGUCAAGUCUUUCACAUGGAAAACGAACACACUGGUCUCCUUGGUAAAAGUCCAGUUUCUGGGCAACAGCCGCCGAAGGACAUGACAAAGCAUAGGAAUUUGACGCCCUGGGAAUGAGAAUGGGCUUGAACGCCGUCCAAACAGGAAGUAGUCAAAGAUACAAAAGCCUUGAUGUGGUGAGUAAAUGUGAUCAAACUUGUGCUUUUCUGGAGAGUUGGGUCUCGUCAACACAGCGAAAUGAGGCAGCGGACACGUCGACGCAGGUCAGCCCGUGAAGAGUAUGUGCAGGCUAAACAAUGGAUAGAUAUGUUUUGGCGUGUUCUGAUACUCAUGUGUGUUUCUCUUUAUUGAUCAGAUAUAUAUAUAUAUAUAUAUAAAAAAUUUAACUGAGGGGACUAAUGCCAUUUAUGAAAUUAUAAUCUCUGAUCUGUUACAUGCACAAACUCUCUAUAAAAGUUGUUGAUUCUCCAGUAGUAGCUUUAACACUGAGCAGUCCUCUGUGUGUCAAAGAGCUGAAUCUGACUGUCACAGAACUGACUUCCUGUUUUGAUCCACAUAUUUGUACUGAAGUUCAUCAGCGGUUUCACUUUUGUUGACUGAUUUGGUCCAGCUUCGAGUUCAGGUUAAGUUUUGCUGUCAUUAUAGAGCACAAUGAAAUGCAGUUGUAGGCCCCUCCAUGCUCAGAGGAAAUGUAAUGUAAUGUAAUUACCGUCUCUCCUCCAGAUGAGGAGCAACUCAAAACCUACUUUUAUGCUUUUGCUUUUAACUGGUAAAUAAAUGCAUAAAUAAAAGUGUGUUUAGAUUUUAUAGCCCGGUCUGCUACAUUUUUCUGUUUUAAUACCUGUGUUUGUGCAUGCUGCUGUAUUUUAAGCUUUAUUUAUUGGUUUAAGUGCUCAUGAACAUAAAGCACUUUGAGCUUUCAAAGCAUUUUAUGUAUGAAAUGUGGUAUAAAAUAAAGAGAUUAUUUUAUUAGUUUAA